This 67-nucleotide transfer RNA is filed under the name marine eukaryotic metagenome. It matches the Rfam family "tRNA", at positions 5 to 66 of the family's 71-position model. From Rfam's summary of the family: Transfer RNA (tRNA) molecules are approximately 80 nucleotides in length. Their secondary structure includes four short double-helical elements and three loops (D, anti-codon, and T loops). The record is from RNAcentral.
GGUUAUAGCUCAGUUGGUAGAGCGCCACACUGUGACUGUGGAUGCCGAGGGUUCGAGCCCCUCUAAU